RNAcentral lists this ribosomal RNA (499 nucleotides) under uncultured bacterium. Its description in RNAcentral is "partial 16S ribosomal RNA". It matches the Rfam family "Bacterial small subunit ribosomal RNA", at positions 28 to 507 of the family's 1533-position model. The record is from RNAcentral.
GACGAACGCUGGCGGCGUGCCUAAUACAUGCAAGUCGAGCGAAGUGUUUCUGGUGCUUGCACUAGAAAAACUUAGCGGCGAACGGGUGAGUAACACGUAAAGAACCUGCCUCAUAGACUGGGACAACUAUUGGAAACGAUAGCUAAUACCGGAUAACAUCAUUAACUGCAUGGUUGAUGUUUAAAAGUUGGUUUUGCUAACACUAUGAGAUGGCUUUGCGGUGCAUUAGCUAGUUGGUGGGGUAAAGGCCUACCAAGGCGACGAUGCAUAGCCGACCUGAGAGGGUGAUCGGCCACACUGGGACUGAGACACGGCCCAGACUCCUACGGGAGGCAGCAGUAGGGAAUCUUCCGCAAUGGGCGAAAGCCUGACGGAGCAACGCCGCGUGAGUGAAGAAGGAUUUCGGUUCGUAAAGCUCUGUUGUUAGGGAAGAAUGAUUGUGUAGUAACUAUACACAGUAGAGACGGUACCUAACCAGAAAGCCACGGCUAACUACGUG